GGUUCUGGGGAGGAGGGAGCAGCCGAGCCCCGCCCCGCCCGGGGAGGGACAGGCGCAAGGUGUAGGGGGCGCACGAGGCAGGUACCUGCGCGCGGUGAUACUGGUGCCAUGGCUGCUGGGUCUGCGGCCGGGAUAACGCCCGGGUGUGCGUCUGGGGGAGCCGCUGCCGGGUGAGCUCCAGGCAGGCAGCAGCCGUCGCGGUGUCCCUAUUUGGACACGUGCGGGUAGAGGCCUUGCGCCGUUACCUGGGGGCGCGCUUCGUCGCCCGCUGCCCCGGGAGCCGCCAACGGCCCUGCUCCCACUGGGUUAGUUGUAACACCAGCUGAUCUCCUCUCCCUUGCAUCGAUCGGGCCGCCCCAGCCGGCCACGGGCCAGGAACCGCGGCAGGCGGUGGCACAGGGUGAAGGGAACCAUCGUCGGGUCCGGAGGGAUGUGGUGAAGGUGGUGAUGGAGAAGUGGCCAAGAUCAUCCGGGAUGAGCAGUUCGGGGGCUGGAGGUGCUGGACGCGGAGCUCUCCGAGACCUGAGAGAGGAGUCACAGCACAGAGUCCUGCCUCUCCCCCAGUCCCACAGCUCUUGAAGAAACGGCGGAGAAUCCGUGCAUCACGUGUUACGCUUUACCUCAGGGAAUUGUUUGGUCCAUAAAAACUCCAGGAGGUGGCUUCUGGGUGUCCAGACUAAUUCAUGCAGACUGCCUGGAUAAUCUUUUCUUAGGGAGUAGUGCGGGCUGGGUUCCCAGUUCUGUGAGGGGCUGGGCUCAGCAACAGCAACGGGAGUUAGGCGAAAGGGGAGACUACACCAAAUUUAUUUAUCUAAAAAAGUGAAUGUCAGCAACUAAAUUUUUCAGUAACCCUUUCUCUGUCCUAGCCCAGACAAGAGAACUGAACAGAGCUCAUCCUCCUCAUCUCUUGCAUGUUGUUUCUGUGAAUGAUAUCUAACCAUGUCUCUCUCGUCUCCCUUCCCCCAAACUUUCUGGUCCCUGACUUUCACCCUUUACCAGCCAGGGAAGCUUUUUCCUCUUUGCAUCAUCUUCUGGAGAUGGUAUUAUUACUUGCUAGUAUAUUUUGAAACAUGGAGAGCAACUUCAGAUGUCUUUUUCACUGCUCUUUAUAGAUCUAUAGCACAGACUGCUAGUUUGUUUCAGGGGAUAAGGAAAACACAAAAGGGGUAUCUUCAUGAAUUCCUAGUUCAACUCCCCCAUUAUCUUUAUCUGGGUUACGUAUAGUAGGGUUGACUUUUUUUUUUUUUGUUUUAGGUUUUGUAAAUAGGUGUGGGAAAGGUUCAUGCUGAAGACUGAUUACGGGGGGGUGGGGAAUUGUCUGGCUGAAGAGUUCAUUUAUUUUGUGUUUGCUGCUAUAUUAUGGCUGAGGGCUUUGGAUUUUCUUCAUCUGCUCUGAGAGGUCAAGCAGCAGAGGUAUCUUUCUUGCAAAAUUCUGACAGUGAUCAGGCACUGAUGGUGCACAGAAGGACUGCAGCUACUGCCUCUCUGAGCCUAUACAUAUAUUGUCUCAACCUCACACAUUAUAUGCAAGGGAGAAAAUUGCCUGAAAUCUGCAUUACUGUUGUCUUGCCUUGCUUAUAAAUCUGUCAGUGUAGGAAUAAUGAGCUAUGUCAGAAACUCUUUAAUUUACUCUUAGACCUUUGUCAGGAUUUUAUUUCUCUGUUACAUAGCUAUGGAGUAGAUUCAGUUCAGAGUUUUAAUCACUGAAAGUUUUAUGUCAGUGUGCCAUUUAUUUGCAGAUUCAGUGGAGCCCUUUAGGGUGACUUGUUGAAAUCCAUUGCAAGAGUCAGUCCAGAGAGGUUCACUCAAGUUACUCACUGUGGUGUGGAUUUUGUUAGGGUAUUCCAUUCGGUUACUUCUUGUGUAGCUAAUAAGAAUAAACUAUCACUGUCAAAACCGGUUAAUGACAAUGUGAGGAAGAUUUAAUCAUAAUUGAGCAUUAAAAGUAAUCUUAUGUUCCAGAAUUGUUUGUAUUAUUUCCCUCAACUUGUUUUAAAAGGUCUGUACUAAUUAACUGUUCCAUAGCAGAAGACAGAGCAUGACUCGUGUGCAUAAUGUUGUACAAAUUGGAUAUGUGUGUUUAAAGAAGAAAAUCUAGGAAUACAAGAAUGGAUGUAGUCUGUGCUUAAAAUAAAAGGGAGCACACUUUUUCCUGAUCCCACUAAAACAGAGGAGGAAUUUCCUCUCCUCAGCCAGUCCAGUGAGAGCUCUACUUCCUGUUUCAGUCUGCUUUUCACAUGGGAUGUGGUGCUGUGCCACAUAACUUUACAACAAGAUACCAUGGUUGAAAAUGAAGCUAGAGAAAUUCUGAUAGAAAAUAAGGUAUGUAUUAUUAACAGUGAGGGUAACUAACUAUUGAAAUAAUUUAACAAGGUUUGUGGUGGUUUUUCUGUUACUGACAAUUUUCUAAGCCAGGAUUGGCUGUUUGUCUAAAAUACAUGCUCUAGUUCAAACAAUAAUUAAUUCAGGGAAGUCCUAUGGCCUAUAUUAUACAGAAAGUCAGAUUAGAUUAUCACUAUGAUCCUUCUGUCUUUAUAAUCUAUGAAAACUGAAUGGUAGCAAAUAUGUCAGUCUUUAUUUUAAAACAAAUUGAAGAAGUGAUUCUGGAAAUUACAGAUCAGUGUGCCAGAAAAAUUGGUUGCAAUAAUAAUCAAAGAUAAAAUUAUGAAAUAUUAAGGGUAAUAAAAAAGUACUGUCAAGGACUGGCAGAGAGACACAGAAGAAUACAUAGGAAUAAAUGGUCAAUAUUCAAGUUGACGAAAAAGAAACAGUGGAGGGCCACAAAGUUCUGUACUAGGACUGGAAUAAUAGCUAACUAUAUGCAAUUUGGGUUCUAGUUUCUUCUUCUCUUCCACAAUACUACAUGGCUGAGUUUCCUGUUUAUAAUCUAAGGCUGCCUUUCCUUGCAUGCAGUAUUGCCCUGUGGCAUUGAGCGUAAGCACUUGAGAUAGAACCUCUCCAUUUAAAAUGAGUGGCAGCAACAAGUAAGAGAAAUGGUUUUUCAAGAGGGGUCCUUUGCUUUGGAAUUCAUUUUAUCUUUGUUCUGCCAGAGCCCAAGUUAUUUAACCAUGUAGGCACAGUAAAAAGCCCACUUUCUUUCCGCAUGUGGGGAGGUGGUGUGUUGAUGGGUCAUCACUGUAAAGAAGACUAAUCUGAUGACAAUAUGGCAGAAGCUUGGGAAAACCAUAGAGAAGAUCACACACUGACAGUGGAGGUUUAAAAAUAAAAUAAGAACAGAUUUGUGUAUCAGAUAUCAUAUGGAGUGAGUACAGGACAUUUAGGGGUUCAUGCCGAAAGGGUGUUAAUCUUGGCAAGCCAGUUGUUCCUUUAUGCCUUGCAGUCGGUUCUAUCCCUGAAGCUAUUCUGAGAACACAGACUCUAAAACAGGUGAUAAAUUAAGCCCCUUUAGUUAAAAGACAAAACUAUAAGAGUGCUAAUGCUGCACUUACAGUACUCUGAUCUAAUAAACUUCUCUGUUUCAUGUAAGUAUCAGUGACUGAAAUGAUUCAGGAAGACCUAUAGUUCUUGAACUUCAGACUCAGAUAAGUCUUUCAAUAUACAACUUGUUUUCUUCCAUUCUCUAAGUGUCAGUAUUUUCUUUACGCACCCCAUUUUUGAGUCUUUAAAAGCCUUCCCUGCUCUUUUCAGGAUUUCCAGGCUGCAGCUGACUUGCCUCACAGGAUAAAUGCACAACUGAAUACUGUACAAACACAGGUCAAACUUCCUGAAGCUGGUAAAAAAUGAAGAUGGCUGUUAAACGUUUGAUGACCUAUCUCUAUUGGCUAUACUAUCAGUAUAAACUGAUCACCUGUAGUGAACUCAUGGUACCCAGUGAACUAUUGAUCUUCUACACUGUUGUUGUUCCUAUGCUUGCGGUGAUUGUGUACAUGGUUUACAUCUUUAUCGCUAUGCAGAUCAAUCUGGCUUUCCAGUUUUUCUUAUUUGUCUUUGGAAACGAACCUGAAAAUACUGUUUCUAUUACAAAGUAGCCUAGCUACCAUCAUGGUGGCUUUUUGAUCCUGCAUGCUGUUCUCAUAAAGCUAUGUAUUUGUUUAGAAGCAAUUUGAGGUUUACGCAAACACUGCUUUUUGUGUGUGUAAAAUCUGCUUAAAUAGGAAUUAUACAGAAGAUAAAACCAACCUUUAUUCUGUAAUGGACACUUCAUCCUAGAUGUAUUACUUACUAAAUAUUCUACUUGUUCACCUUAAGAAUAGUGUUCAUAUACAAUAUUUUAGAUAUACUGAAAUGGGAUAAAUUAAUUAUCUAAUCGUUCUACAUUAGAGCUGGUAAAAAUAUUUCAAUAUUUAGUGGAAAAAUUGUGGAAAAAAAGAUUUUACAUUUUCAUGAAUGCUUUUUGACCAGCUUUAUUAAACAUACAGAUAUCUUA
Molecule: long non-coding RNA, 4387 nt
Organism: Gopherus flavomarginatus (Mexican gopher tortoise)
Lineage: Eukaryota; Metazoa; Chordata; Testudines; Testudinidae
Exons: 2
Source: RefSeq, a predicted model, not a curated record